GUGAGGAAUAUUGCGCAAUGGAGGCAACUCUGACGCAGCCAUGCCGCGUGCAGGAAGAAGGCGCUACGCGUUGUAAACUGCGUUUAACCGGGAAGAAACCCCAGGACGUGUCCUGGGUUGACGGUACCGGAGGAAUAAGCACCGGCUAACUUCGUGCCAGCAGCCGCGGUAAUACGAAGGGUGCAAGCGUUAUCCGGAUUCAUUGGGUUUAAAGGGUGCGUAGGCGGAGCGUUAAGUCAGUGGUGAAAUCCUGCAGCUUAACUGUAGACUUGCCAUUGAUACUGGCGCUCUUGAGUGCGCUUGAAGUGGGCGGAAUGUGCCGUGUAGCGGUGAAAUGCUUAGAUAUGGCACAGAACACCAAUUGCGAAGGCAGCUCACUAAGGCGAUACUGACGCUGAGGCACGAAAGCGUGGGGAUCGAACAGGAUUAGAUACCCGGGUAGUCC
RNAcentral lists this ribosomal RNA (445 nucleotides) under uncultured bacterium. RNAcentral describes it as "bacterial SSU rRNA". It matches the Rfam family "Bacterial small subunit ribosomal RNA", at positions 354 to 796 of the family's 1533-position model. The record is from RNAcentral.